Molecule: long non-coding RNA, 667 nt
Organism: Pecten maximus
Lineage: Eukaryota; Metazoa; Mollusca; Bivalvia; Pectinida; Pectinidae
Exons: 3
Source: RefSeq, a predicted model, not a curated record
UGACGAGUUUCAAGAUGGCGACCUGCAGCGCCUGAGGAUUACAUCCGCCAGACUAAGGAUUUAUUGGCCAUAAUCUGCAAACUGUAUUGAUGGGAGAAAAUGAUUCACUGAUCUGCUGACUAAUGGUGAUGGAAAUUGCACCGAUUUAAAUGCUGUGACAUUCAUCACCCAUACUUGUCAGUUUUCUUGACUGUGGUACAAGGGCAGACUGGAGUACGGGGUAUCCUUCUUUUCAAGAACAAUGUGUUAAUUGGCACAGAGUUGAACCUUCAAAAACAUUUGAACCAAAUGAGUAUAAAAGAGAAACUUCAGCUUUUAGGACCAAUUUGUGCAUCUGGCCCAGAACACUAAUAGAAGCGCCCCCUAUUGGUCAAUUGGAUCAGAACACUGAUAGAAGCGCCCCCUAUUGGAUAUCUGGACCAGAACACUGAUAGAAGCACCCCCUAUUGGAUAUCUGGACCAGAACACUGAUAGAAGCGCCCCCUAUUGGACAUCUGGAUCAGAACACUGAUAGAAGCGCCCCCUAUUGGACAUCUGGAUGGGAACACUGAUUAAACACCCCCCAAUUUGACAUCUGGACCAAAACGCUGACAUCUGGACCUGGCCGUGUGUACCAUGGGGCUUGCCCCAGUCAAGCCCUGCCUCUAUGAUGGGGACUAUUGCACAA